CACACUGGGACUGAGACACGGCCCAGACUCCUACGGGAGGCAGCAGUGGGGAAUUUUGGACAAUGGGGGCAACCCUGAUCCAGCAAUGCCGCGUGUGUGAAGAAGGCCUUCGGGUUGUAAAGCACUUUUGUCCGGGAAGAAAUCGCACCUGAUAAUACCGGGUGUGGAUGACGGUACCGGAAGAAUAAGGACCGGCUAACUACGUGCCAGCCGCCGCCGUAACAC
This 225-nucleotide ribosomal RNA is filed under the name uncultured bacterium. RNAcentral describes it as "partial 16S ribosomal RNA". It matches the Rfam family "Bacterial small subunit ribosomal RNA", at positions 309 to 526 of the family's 1533-position model. The record is from RNAcentral.